Molecule: long non-coding RNA, 1643 nt
Organism: Maniola jurtina (meadow brown)
Lineage: Eukaryota; Metazoa; Arthropoda; Insecta; Lepidoptera; Nymphalidae
Exons: 3
Source: RefSeq, a predicted model, not a curated record
CGCAAUACGUACUCUGCGCUCUCGUAUACCGUUCGCGAGUUCAUGAAGUUUAUGGAAGUACUGCGGGUGCGGCAGCGUGGCGCCUUUGUUCUCGCUGGCCCGCGUGGCUGGGCUGUGACCGGUGCUAUAUUCCGUGCCAGUCGAUAUUGCACCAGUCCCGGCCUAUCCAAGCGGGCCCGGCCUUCGCAGACCGCUAUGCUACAAGACAGCAUCCGCGGCCGCGAUCCCGUUAGCCGGUCUCGGUCGUUCACUGCUGUGGCCACGCAUAGGGCGUGAUUCGGUGUAACCGUUGUGUUAGCUAUCAAAUUGCACCAAUCCCGGCCUGCAUGCGGCCACUGUGAGUGUUGGGCUGUUGGCUUUGUGUUGACUUUACUUCGCCGAGUUGCCUGUUACCCCGAGACACUUGCACGUGGCAUCUUGCAAACCAGGGUUCUAUGGCAUGAGCAAGACAACUCUAUCACCACCACCAUCUUCGUUGUAAUGAAUAAAGUUCAUAACAGAACUUAUUCAUCUACUAGUUAUGCCGCCCAGGCUUUGCACGUGCGGAAAUUUCUAAAAAUCCUUAGUGAGAUCGACGGUAUCGAGAAAAUCUACAUGGAAAAAUCUCAAGCUUCCAGACCUAGCAGUUUCAGCUUUAUAUUGAUAUGUUGAAACUAACGUAUUCACGCCUUUUUAGGGUUCCGUACCUCAAAAGGAAAACGGAACCCUUAUAGGAUGGAUUUUUGUUUGUUGUCUGUCUGUCUGUCAAGAAACCUAUAGGGUACUUCCUGUUGACCUAGACUAGAAUCGUGAAAUUUGGUAGGUAGGUAGGUCUUAUAGCACAGGAUGGUUGUCUUCCAACGUUUCUCCUUCCGCUACGUUGCCUCCAUUCCAGUAGCAAUCGAGUCCAUCGGUCAUCUGUAGUCCUACAGACAUGCUCAUUUUCACAAGGAUCUCUAAUUUUUUUGAAAAUAAAAUAUAGCUUAUGUUACUCGGAAAUAAUGUAGCUUUCUACAGGUGAAAGAAUUUUCAAAAUUGGUUUCGAUCGGAAAAUUACAUAGUACAAACUACAAUAAUAAAAAAUAUCAUCGUCAUCUCAAACUAUCGCCGUCCAACUACUGAGCACGGGCCUCCUUUCAGAAUGAGAAGGGUUUAGUUAGGCCAUGGUUCACCACGCUUUAGCUAAGUGCGGAUUGGCAGACUUCACACAUCUUUGAAGACAUUAUGGAGAAAUUUCAGGCAUACAGAUUUCCUCACGGAAUUUAAAUCAUAAAAACAAAAGAAUAAUUAAAAGCUUGUUUUGGCAUAGUUGGCAGGAAAAAAUCUUCAACGUGGCAACCCUUUGGUGAAACAUUCAAUUGUCAAGUUCCCCGCGAGAGCAGGACGGAGUUAUUCAUCACGCGUGUGCGAGCGAGAGAGAAGAGGGAGUAACCGCCAUAUUGGCUUUCAUUGGACGAGCGGAAGAGCACAAAUGAAGAUGAAGAUUCAACGUCUACGGAAACUUGCGUGCGCCGCGGGUUUCGCGGCUUCGCUCGUGUUCGUGCUUCGUGGCGUUCCCCGCCAGAAGUCGACUGCGAACUUCGAAUAGACUGCGAAAAGUUGCGAAACUUUGCGGAAGUUUACAAAAAACCGGCUAAGUGCUAGUCAGACUCGCGCACCGAGGG